Molecule: long non-coding RNA, 198 nt
Organism: Aquila chrysaetos chrysaetos
Lineage: Eukaryota; Metazoa; Chordata; Aves; Accipitriformes; Accipitridae
Exons: 4
Source: RefSeq, a predicted model, not a curated record
ACUGUGGCUGAAGGAACCUGCAGCCCUGGGAGGGACCCAUGCUGGAGCUGUUGUUGAAGAACUGCAGGCUAUGGGAAGGACUCACAUUGGAGAAGUUCAUGAAGGACUGUAUCCCGUGGGAGGGACCUCAUGCUGGAGCAGGAGAACAGAAUGAGGAGGAAAGAGUAGCAGAGACAAAGUGUUAUGAACCAACCACAA